AUUGAACGCUGGCGGCAGGCCUAACACAUGCAAGUCGAACGGUAACAGGAAGCAGCUUGCUGCUUUGCUGACGAGUGGCGGACGGGUGAGUAAUGUCUGGGAAACUGCCUGAUGGAGGGGGAUAACUACUGGAAACGGUAUCUAAUACCGCAUAACGUCGCAAGACCAAAGAGGGGGACCUUCGGGCCUCUUGCCAUCGGAUGUGCCCAGAUGGGAUUAGCUAGUAGGUGGGGUAACGGCUCACCUAGGCGACGAUCCCUAGCUGGUCUGAGAGGAUGACCAGCCACACUGGAACUGAGACACGGUCCAGACUCCUACGGGAGGCAGCAGUGGGGAAUAUGGCAGAAGGGGCGCAAGCCUGAUGCAGCCAUGCAGCGUGUAUGAAGAAGGCCUUCGGGUUGUAAAGUACUUUCAGCGGGGAGGAAGGGAGUAAAGUUAAUACCUUUGCUCAUUGACGUUACCCGCAGAAGAAGCACCGGCUAACUCCGU
Molecule: ribosomal RNA, 489 nt
Filed under: uncultured bacterium
Lineage: Bacteria
Description: partial 16S ribosomal RNA
Rfam family: Bacterial small subunit ribosomal RNA
Source: RNAcentral